CUCGUAGGCGGUCUUGCAAGUUGGAUGUGAAAACCGAAGGCUCAACCUUCGGCCUGCAUCCAAAACUGCAAGUCUAGAGUACUGGAGAGGAUGGCGGAAUUCCUGGUGUAGCGGUGAAAUGCGUAGAUAUCAGGAGGAACACCGGUGGCGAAGGCGGCCAUCUGGACAGAUACUGACGCUGAGGAGCGAAGGCUAGGGUAGCAAACA
This 207-nucleotide ribosomal RNA is filed under the name uncultured bacterium. Its description in RNAcentral is "partial 16S ribosomal RNA". It matches the Rfam family "Bacterial small subunit ribosomal RNA", at positions 568 to 774 of the family's 1533-position model. The record is from RNAcentral.